GGACUACUGGGGUAUCUAAUCCUGUUUGAUCCCCUUGCUUUCGCGCUUCAGCGUCAGGAAUAAGCUAGAAAACCGCCUUCGCCACCGGUAUUCUUCCACAUAUCUACGCAUUUCACCGCUACUUGUGGAAUUCUGUUUUCUCCGCCUACCCUCUAGACAAUGUAGUUUCAAAUGCAGCUCCCAGGUUGAGCCCGGGAAUUUCACAUCUGACUUACAUAUCCGCCUACGCGCCCUUUACGCCCAAUAAAUCCGAUUAAUGCUUGCACCCUCCGUAUUACCGCGGCUGCUGGCAC
RNAcentral lists this ribosomal RNA (293 nucleotides) under uncultured bacterium. RNAcentral describes it as "partial 16S ribosomal RNA". The record is from RNAcentral.